This 69-nucleotide transfer RNA is filed under the name Botia dario (Bengal loach). RNAcentral describes it as "tRNA-Ala". It matches the Rfam family "tRNA". Rfam says of the family: Transfer RNA (tRNA) molecules are approximately 80 nucleotides in length. The record is from RNAcentral. Lineage: Eukaryota; Metazoa; Chordata; Actinopteri; Cypriniformes; Botiidae.
AAGGCUUUAGCUUAAUUAAAGUGUCUGAUUUGCAUUCAGAACAUGUGGGAUAGAGUCCCGCAAGUCUUA